RNAcentral lists this long non-coding RNA (1681 nucleotides) under Monodelphis domestica (gray short-tailed opossum). RNAcentral's name for it is "lncRNA (ENSMODG00000038544.1)". The record is from RNAcentral. Lineage: Eukaryota; Metazoa; Chordata; Mammalia; Didelphimorphia; Didelphidae.
CUCAUCUGGCUGUGGCAGUUUGUGACUGAAUGAGAGAAAAGUGCCCUAGAAGCUAUUCAUUAGGAAUUCACUGGAAGCUCUCAAACAAGCCUGGCAGAAGCUGAAAUUGAAGUGGUCUCUGACCUAAUUUUCUUCUGCAUGAAACAUCUGCAUCAAGGCUCUCUUUGAUGUAUUCCACUUGGCUCUGUCUACAGUAUUGUAUCACAUGGCUUCAGUGUUGCCUCAGUUUUAAAAGACAUUUCCAGCCUGUAGAAGGUUUCUCUCUUUUGACUUUCCCAUUUGCUAUAUCAGCAGGCAAACAGCUCAAAGUUGGGAUCGACUGGAGCAUAAAGAGACAAUUUGGCACCUCCUUUGUACGGCAGCACUCCGAGCUGGACAGGAGAAAGUGACUGGCCCGAUCCUCCUCACCUUGGAUUCCCUGGUGUAGCUUCCUCUCCCGUGGCCCUGCUGUCUCCCAGUGGGAGGCAGAGCUCACACUCAGCACUGGCCCGGACCACUGAAGCUACGAAGGGAAGGGCAGAGUGAGUCCGGCUUCUUCCUCUAGCCUGGCCUUCACCGAGGAGGAGGAGCAAUUGCCCAUAACUGCCUGGAGAGGAGAGAGAAGAAAAGAGAAUGCCUCAUGACGUGAAUUAUUGACUGGCCAGGGUGAGGCAAGGAAACACAAAUUAAUUUCAGUUAGGACAAGGGGAUGCUCAUUGGGGCUCAGACUGGGGACAUUUGAUCUAAAACUGCUGCCUUAUUCACUUACCCUCCCAGUCCCACUUCGAAGUCUUGCUUUGAAUCAACAAUGCUUGAAAUGAAUCCAGGUUCCCCUCCCGGCCGCCCCCCCACCCCUUUUCUUCCGCCCUUUUCACACCAUGGAGGCAGUGUCUCCUUUUGUGUCUCUCCAGAUUUCUCAGUUGAAGCUGAGGAAGCCAUCUAUUGAAGGGGAGCCACAUCCGUCCAGUCCAGAGGAGGAGUAGGGUGUCCUCUGCUAGAGUUUAGAGCCCCUGUGGCCUCAGUCCGAUGUGAGCUGACAUGGUGUUAAUGAGUCAAAAUGACUUUCAUGGGAGAAAGCCCUGCAGUGGUUCACAGUUUGGGGUCUAUUUUUAGCACAGCUGGAAAACACAAGCACACAGAGAUAUUGUUUGCUGUCCUGACUACUGAGGCACAUAAUAUCCUGCUCCCAGGAGGGUUAAUUCCCUAUUCAUGAGCAAUCCUCUGUUUAGGACCAGUCUAGUGAAAUGUUCAUAUUGCUCCCCAGGAGGGGAGGGGAACUCAGUUGUCCAGCUUCCUCAAGAUCAUGGCCACUGGUUCCCUGGCUGAUUUCAGGGAAGUAAGCUGAGAAGACAGAAGGAGAAUAGAGGAGAACAGUGCUGAUAAAAGAAAUAGGUUCUUUUCUCUCCUGGACAGAAUGGCUGAAGGACCCCACUCAAGCUCUCCCUUGGAAAGAUGGAGAUGGUCUUUGCUAAUGUGGGUGGUUGCUGAUCUAAUGUGAGGCAGAGAGAUGGGGUGAGAUGGCAUGGUAAAGAAAUAUUUGAUCUCUAGAAGAUGGGAAGAGGGAGAAAAAGACUUGGUUUCCUCAAAUAUGAAACAAAUACAUAAAUAAUCACUUACUUUUGAAUGAUAUGGUAAUUAUUUUCCAUAAAAACAUUUAGGUAUGCCUGACUGAGAAGAAAUAAAACAUAGAAGGAUCAUUUCA